This 494-nucleotide ribosomal RNA is filed under the name uncultured soil bacterium. RNAcentral describes it as "bacterial SSU rRNA". It matches the Rfam family "Bacterial small subunit ribosomal RNA", at positions 26 to 519 of the family's 1533-position model. The record is from RNAcentral.
AGAUUGAACGCUGGCGGCAGGCCUAACACAUGCAAGUCGAGCGGUAGAGAGGUGCUUGCAUCUCUUGAGAGCGGCGGACGGGUGAGUAAUGCCUAGGAAUCUGCCUAGUGGUGGGGGAUAACGUUCGGAAACGGACGCUAAUACCGCAUACGUCCUACGGGAGAAAGCGGGGGACCUUCGGGCCUCGCGCCAUUAGAUGAGCCUAGGUCGGAUUAGCUAGUUGGUGAGGUAAUGGCUCACCAAGGCGACGAUCCGUAACUGGUCUGAGAGGAUGAUCAGUCACACUGGAACUGAGACACGGUCCAGACUCCUACGGGAGCAGCAGUGGGAAUAUUGGACAAUGGGCGAAAGCCUGAUCCAGCCAUGCCGCGUGUGUGAAGAAGGUCUUCGGAUUGUAAAAGCACUUUAAGUUGGAGGAAGGUUGUAACCUAAUACGUUGCAACUUUGACGUUACGACAGAAUAAGCACCGCUAAACUCGUGCCAGCAGCCGACG